RNAcentral lists this long non-coding RNA (1978 nucleotides) under Homo sapiens (human). RNAcentral describes it as "HSALNT0070366". Lineage: Eukaryota; Metazoa; Chordata; Mammalia; Primates; Hominidae. The record is from RNAcentral.
CGGGAUUCCGUGCUGUGCGGGCCGGGCGCUGGCGUUGGAUUGAGUUCUGUGAGUUGACUGGGCAUUCUGCAUCACAAGGUGUGGCUGGGCACUGGAACAGCCGAAGUCACCUGGGAGCUGACUGGGUUGGACUGUCCAGGAUGGUUCACUCCUACGACAGUGGAUGCUCAACUGGGGCUGUCAACUGGAGCCCCCAUAGGUCACUGUUUCAAGGAGGAGGGGAACUAGACUCCAGCUCUUGAUGAAAGCAGUGAUAAGGAAUUUGCAGUUCUAGUUGAUCUACUGCAGCUUUCAUGGUGUUUUUUCCAUAUACUGAUUAUAUAAUAGUAUUUGUCACCUUUUGCCAAGCGCCACGUAUUACAAUUAAGUGUCUCUUUAUCUCACAGGCUAGAUUUUCAACUUCUGGUGAGAGAUUGCAUUUUUUUUUUUUUUUUUUUUUUUGAGACAGAGUUUUGCUGUGUCACCCAGGCUAGAGUGCAGCGAUCUCGGCUCACUGCAACCUCCGCUCCCGGGUUCAAGCGAUUCUUCUGCCUCAGCCUCCCGGGUAACUGGGAUUACAGGUGCCUGCCACGCCCGGCUAAUUUUCGUAUUUUUAGUAGAGACAGGGUUUCACCAUCUUGGCCAGGCUGGUCUCGAACUCCUGACCUCAUGAUCCACCCACCUUGGCCUCCCAAAGUGCUGGGAUUACAGGUGUGAGCCACUGCGCCCGGCCGAGAGAUUGCAUUUUAUUUAACCCAAUUCUUUCAGUGACAUAGCUAUAAUAACAAUAAAGAUGUAUUAAGUUCCUCUACCAUGUGUUUGAUCCCAUCUAAUUGAACACAUGAUCUUAUCUCAUCCCUACCCUGAUAGAAUAGACGUCUCAUUUUCCAGAUUGGGAACUGAGGCACAGAAAGAUUCAGCUUUGCCCAAAAACCACAUAAUGGACAAGUGGCAGAGCCAGGAUUUGAACCACUUAAGAGCCUGUGUUUUUAUUCUCUCUCUUCUAGUGCCAUCUCACAGUCUUGGCACCAUCUUAGUAGCUUCAGGCUGCUAUAAAAAGUUACCAUAGGCUGGAUGGCUUAAGCAACAGACAUUUAUUUCUCAUGCUUAUGGAGGCUGGGAAGUUCAGGAUCCAGGUGGAGGCUGACCCCAUGUCUUUCUGGGAGGUCCAGCUGCUCCUGGACCAGAUAGUGCCAACACAAUACUUCUCAUUGUGUUAUGAUUGCCUACAGCAGGUGAAGGCCUGCUUCCUGUUUUCCAGAUGGCCGUCUUCUCAUUGUAUCUUAACAUGGUGGAAGGAGAAUGAGAAAGCUCGCUUGUGUCUCUUUUUAUAAGGGCACUAAUCCAGACGCGGAGGGCUCACCUUUACAACAGCUAAACCUGAUCACCCCCCAGAGGCCCCAUCUCCAAAUACCAUCACAUUGGGGAUUGUGCUUUGACAUAUGAAUGUGGGAGGACACGAGCAUUCAGUCCAUAACAGGCACCAAGGCACCAAGUCAGUCUGCACAAGUGUGUCGCUGGGCAGAAGAACAAAAGAGAAGGAAGAAGAAAGAACACAGUACAGAAAUGCCUUUGUGAACAUGGGGGUCCCCAAGUUUUCAGCGGGUGAAGCCAGCAGGCAACAGCUCACACUGGCAUUUUGUCAGUCGGGCACCUUUAUCUUGGCAUUUGGGCUUCCAUCCAGGCUGCCUCAGCUCUUUUGAAUGAACAUGGCCUGCAAAUAGUUCAUCCACAGAGCUGGCUUGGCAGGCGAAGGCUUCUCAGCCCAAGCAGGGGGCUCGAUCUGCCUGCUCUCCUUUCUGUGGCCUCGGAUCCAGCCCUCACUUCUUACCUCCACCAGAUUUGGAGUUUUCAGAGCUAACUGAGGCUUCGGGAAAAGUUCUGUGUUUGGACAAAGCUUUGCAAUAAGGCAGAUCUGGGUUUGAAUCAUCAAUUUAUUUAAUCCUGAAAACCUCAAUUUUAUCUGUAAAAUAAAGAUGAUAAUCAUAACCUAGCUCAC